CACCGCGGUUAUACGAGAGGCCCAAGUUGACAGACAUCGGCGUAAAGAGUGGUUAAGUUAAAAUUCACACUAAAGCCGAACGUCCUCCAGGCUGUUAUACGCACCCGAAGAUAAGAAGUUCAAUCACGAAAGUGGCUUUAUUUAAUCUGAACCCACGAAAGCUACGGCA
Molecule: ribosomal RNA, 169 nt
Filed under: Anoplarchus purpurescens (high cockscomb)
Lineage: Eukaryota; Metazoa; Chordata; Actinopteri; Perciformes; Stichaeidae
Also listed under: 1 other name
Description: partial 12S rRNA
Source: RNAcentral